CCUACGGGUGGCAGCAGUGAGGAAUAUUGGUCAAUGGACGAGAGUCUGAACCAGCCAAGUAGCGUGAAGGAUGACUGCCCUAUGGGUUGUAAACUUCUUUUAUAUGGGAAUAAAACGUUCCACGUGUGGGAUUUUGUAUGUACCAUAUGAAUAAGGAUCGGCUAACUCCGUGCCAGCAGCCGCGGUAAUACGGAGGAUCCGAGCGUUAGCCGGAUUUAUUGGGUUUAAAGGGAGCGUAGGUGGAUUGUUAAGUCAGUUGUGAAAGUUUGCGGCUCAACCGUAAAAUUGCAGUUGAAACUGGCAGUCUUGAGUACAGUAGAGGUGAGCGGAAUUCGUGGUGUAGCGGUGAAAUGCUUAGAUAUCACGAAGAACUCCGAUUGCGAAGGCAGUUCACUGGACUGCAACUGACACUGAGGCUCGAAAGUGUGGGUAUCAAACAGGAUUAGAUACCCGAGUAGUC
RNAcentral lists this ribosomal RNA (460 nucleotides) under uncultured bacterium. RNAcentral's name for it is "partial 16S ribosomal RNA". It matches the Rfam family "Bacterial small subunit ribosomal RNA", at positions 338 to 795 of the family's 1533-position model. The record is from RNAcentral.